Molecule: ribosomal RNA, 1350 nt
Filed under: Microbacterium aerolatum
Lineage: Bacteria; Bacillati; Actinomycetota; Actinomycetes; Micrococcales; Microbacteriaceae
Description: bacterial SSU rRNA
Rfam family: Bacterial small subunit ribosomal RNA
Source: RNAcentral
GCAGUCGAACGGUGAAGCCCAGCUUGCUGGGUGGAUCAGUGGCGAACGGGUGAGUAACACGUGAGCAACCUGCCCCUGACUCUGGGAUAAGCGCUGGAAACGGCGUCUAAUACUGGAUAUGUGACGUGACCGCAUGGUCUGCGUUUGGAAAGAUUUUUCGGUUGGGGAUGGGCUCGCGGCCUAUCAGCUUGUUGGUGAGGUAAUGGCUCACCAAGGCGUCGACGGGUAGCCGGCCUGAGAGGGUGACCGGCCACACUGGGACUGAGACACGGCCCAGACUCCUACGGGAGGCAGCAGUGGGGAAUAUUGCACAAUGGGCGCAAGCCUGAUGCAGCAACGCCGCGUGAGGGAUGACGGCCUUCGGGUUGUAAACCUCUUUUAGCAGGGAAGAAGCGAAAGUGACGGUACCUGCAGAAAAAGCGCCGGCUAACUACGUGCCAGCAGCCGCGGUAAUACGUAGGGCGCAAGCGUUAUCCGGAAUUAUUGGGCGUAAAGAGCUCGUAGGCGGUUUGUCGCGUCUGCUGUGAAAUCCCGAGGCUCAACCUCGGNCCUGCAGUGGGUACGGGCAGACUAGAGUGCGGUAGGGGAGAUUGGAAUUCCUGGUGUAGCGGUGGAAUGCGCAGAUAUCAGGAGGAACACCGAUGGCGAAGGCAGAUCUCUGGGCCGUAACUGACGCUGAGGAGCGAAAGGGUGGGGAGCAAACAGGCUUAGAUACCCUGGUAGUCCACCCCGUAAACGUUGGGAACUAGUUGUGGGGUCCAUUCCACGGAUUCCGUGACGCAGCUAACGCAUUAAGUUCCCCGCCUGGGGAGUACGGCCGCAAGGCUAAAACUCAAAGGAAUUGACGGGGACCCGCACAAGCGGCGGAGCAUGCGGAUUAAUUCGAUGCAACGCGAAGAACCUUACCAAGGCUUGACAUAUACGAGAACGGGCCAGAAAUGGUCAACUCUUUGGACACUCGUAAACAGGUGGUGCAUGGUUGUCGUCAGCUCGUGUCGUGAGAUGUUGGGUUAAGUCCCGCAACGAGCGCAACCCUCGUUCUAUGUUGCCAGCACGUAAUGGUGGGAACUCAUGGGAUACUGCCGGGGUCAACUCGGAGGAAGGUGGGGAUGACGUCAAAUCAUCAUGCCCCUUAUGUCUUGGGCUUCACGCAUGCUACAAUGGCCGGUACAAAGGGCUGCAAUACCGCGAGGUGGAGCGAAUCCCAAAAAGCCGGUCCCAGUUCGGAUUGAGGUCUGCAACUCGACCUCAUGAAGUCGGAGUCGCUAGUAAUCGCAGAUCAGCAACGCUGCGGUGAAUACGUUCCCGGGUCUUGUACACACCGCCCGUCAAGUCAUGAAAGUCGGUAAC